AUGCCGACGACGUGCUCAUCAACUCAUUCAAUUCCAUCGAGCCAAAGGUCCAACGAGGCACACAAGCUAUCUGAGGAACUCAUGUCGAAAUGUGAGAAGAAUGGAUUGAUUGUUUCUUGGUGCCCCCAACUUGAGGUUCUAGCACACAAGGCCAUUAGAUAUUUCGUUACUCGUUGUGGCUGGAACUCGACGCUGGAGGCGGUUGUUUGUGGUGUACCACUUGUCGGAAUUCCACACUGGGCGGACCAACCCACCAUCGCAAAGUAUGUGGAGAGCGCAUGGGGUAUGGGUGCGCGAGUGCAGAAGAGCGAAAGUAGAUCACUAAGGAGUGCGGAGGUCGAGAGGUGUAUUAGAGAGGUCAUGGAUGGGGAGAGGAAGGACGACUACAAAAGGAAUGCAAUGAAGUUGAUGCAAAAGGCCAAGGAGGCAAUGCAAGAAGGGCAAAAGGAUGAUGAAUGGCCAAAUAGCUCCGACAGUCCAGUAGUGUUGGGGGCGGUCCAAAAGGAUAAUAUCGGCGAAAAAACACCAAACAAGUGGAAACAAACAAAGGAACAAGUUUGUGCCCUCCUCCGUGCCUGGGCUGGCCCAUCCGACGCUCCCAUGACAAGAGGCUUCCUUAUGUCCACUGAGAGCUCCACAUUGGCGCCUUCAGCGCCCCGUAAACUUGUUGGUGAUCACAUGCGCACCUAA
This 690-nucleotide ribosomal RNA is filed under the name Triticum aestivum (bread wheat). RNAcentral describes it as "partial small subunit ribosomal RNA". Lineage: Eukaryota; Viridiplantae; Streptophyta; Magnoliopsida; Poales; Poaceae. The record is from RNAcentral.